Long non-coding RNA from Vespa mandarinia (Asian giant hornet), 1336 nucleotides. Lineage: Eukaryota; Metazoa; Arthropoda; Insecta; Hymenoptera; Vespidae. The record is from RefSeq and is a predicted model, not a curated record.
UUUCCAUUAUGAAAUUAUAAUUCGUAAACUAUUCUAAUUCGAAAUCUAUCGUGUAUAUGUAUAUGUAUAUAUGUAAACGAAUUUGAAAUCGGAUAUUUAUCGUAAAUUAAUUCGACGAAAAAACAAAAUAAAUAUCAGUUUUAUAUAAAUUUGUUCCAUUAAAUAUACGAUAGUAAUUAACCGUUUGAAUCCCAAGUAGCAUGAUCGCACUGUUCAGAUUUUAUGUCGAGAAAAUCCAGCACAUUUAGAGCGUUGUGGACAACUGACGUUGCGUCAUCGACUGUCGAAGUCGCUCGCUCAGAUUUACUGACAUUACGCAUUGUCGCAAGUUACAUCGUGACAACUUUAUUAAACCAAAUCACUUUCCCAACUGCAAUAAAUGUGACGGAGUGAUGUGAAAAAGGUGAGAAUCACAUUACCUAACACAUCUUAUAUGUGCAGAACAUAAAAUGUAAGAAGCACUAUUGCCCCGAUUGGGAUUCAUCGACAUAAAAUAAACGAAGCGCUAUCGCACCGCUUGGGAUUUAUCGACACAAAAUAAAAGAAACGCUAUUGCGCCGCUUGGAUCUUUUCGUACUCAUUUAGAGAAAACGCGGUUACGCUGUUCGGGAUUCUUUGACAGUGUUUUUUCGAUACCCUCUGGGACUCAAACGAUCGGCUUGUCGUUAAAUUUGUUAUAUGAAGUUCUCUCUACCAAACAGAGAAAGAAGGUCACCAAUGUAACUUUUUACUCAGAGCCGUGAGACAGGAGGACGGUUCAGGUGUGGAUGAUUCACGUGGAAUUUCAAAUGGUAGGGGGUUUUGAGUGAGCAUCGGAUUAGCCAAGUACGAAAGAAACAUUUAUUAAGAUCGAUAAGAUUAUCAUCUUGUUGAAAAUUCGAUUAUUGACCCGAUUAUUUAUUAACACCUUAACAUUCCAUUCUACAUCAUAAAGAUGACAUAUCCGGUUAAAAGUAGUUCAAGAAGAAAGAAAAGAAAAUACACACACACGUAAAAUAAAACGAAAAAAAGGAAUAAUGAUCUUAAAGAAAAAUCAUCAUCAAAUAUUUGAAGCGAGCAUUCGAUUAACAAGUUAAUUGUCUCAAAUCAUCGAAAAAAACAACAGAACAAGAUGAUUAGAAUCAAGAACUAAAAUUCAUUCGUUUAACCGUAUGUGACUCAAUGAUGACCACGUGAUCACCGUGUUACGCAUCAGUAAAAAGUGUGGUGUUGUCGACGUCAGAAUAAUUACCUCGACAGUAGAGAGUAAGAGUGAAGAAGAUAAGAACGAAUAUUGUUCGUAAUGUCAUCUUUUUUGCCGGCAUUUUCGUCUUCAUGUUUUUUUCUUCGCACACUU